AACGCGAAGAACCUUACCUGGGUUUGACAUGCAGUUGACCGAUCCAGAAAUGGAUCUUUCUCGCAAGAGACAAUUGCACAGGUGCUGCAUGGCUGUCGUCAGCUCGUGCCGUGAGGUGUUGGGUUAAGUCCCGCAACGAGCGCAACCCUUGUCGUUAGUUGCCAGCACGUAAUGGUGGGCACUCUAGCGAGACUGCCCGGGUUAACCGGGAGGAAGGUGAGGAUGACGUCAAGUCCGCAUGGCCUUUAUAUCCAGGGCUACACACGUGCUACAAUGGCCGGUACAGAGGGGAGCAAAACCGUGAGGUAGAGCAAAUCGUUAAAACCGGCCCCAGUUCGGAUUGUAGUCUGCAACUCGACUACAUGAAGAUGGAAUUGCUAGUAAUGGCGGGUCAGCAACACCGCCGUGAAUACGUUCCCGGGCCUUGUACACACCGGAGUGC
Molecule: ribosomal RNA, 442 nt
Filed under: uncultured bacterium
Lineage: Bacteria
Description: bacterial SSU rRNA
Rfam family: Bacterial small subunit ribosomal RNA
Source: RNAcentral